GGCUGUUUGGUUCAAAAACUUCAGAUAAGUAGAUAGUUAUCCACUAUAUUGAUCAUAUUUAACUAUAUUUUGUGGCACUGCAUCUAUACUUUUUGCAUAUAUGUAUAUACUUCAGAAUUCAUCCGGCUGCUUCUAUUUUCUGUCACAUUAUCAACAAACACUACUGACUCAGUGCCAUUGGAAGCCAUGCCAUCACACUGCCUCCACCAUCUUUUACAGAUGAUGCGGUAUGCUUCAAAUCAUGAGCUGUUCCAAUAUGUUCUCCAUACUUUUUUCUUCCCAUCAUUAUGGUAUAGAUUGAUCUCAAUUUCAUCAGUCAAAAGAAUGCUUUUUCCAAACUGGGUUGGCUUUUUUAGAUGUUUUUGGCAAAGUCUAAUCUGGCCUUUCUAUUCUUGAGGCUUAUAAAUGGUUCGCAUCUUGUGGUGAACCCACUGUAUUUGUGAAGUCUUCUCUUUAUGGUAGACUUGGAUAAUGAUAUGCCUACCUCCUAGAAAGUGUCUUCACUUGCUUGGAUGUUUUGAAGGGUUUUUC
Molecule: non-coding RNA, 531 nt
Organism: Pelobates cultripes (western spadefoot toad)
Lineage: Eukaryota; Metazoa; Chordata; Amphibia; Anura; Pelobatidae
Source: the annotation of a GenBank genome assembly